This 56-nucleotide ribosomal RNA is filed under the name Ascaris lumbricoides (common roundworm). Its description in RNAcentral is "partial 5.8S ribosomal RNA". It matches the Rfam family "5.8S ribosomal RNA", at positions 1 to 55 of the family's 154-position model. Rfam says of the family: 5.8S ribosomal RNA (5.8S rRNA) is a component of the large subunit of the eukaryotic ribosome. It is transcribed by RNA polymerase I as part of the 45S precursor that also contains 18S and 28S rRNA. Functionally, it is thought that 5.8S rRNA may be involved in ribosome translocation. Lineage: Eukaryota; Metazoa; Nematoda; Chromadorea; Rhabditida; Ascarididae. The record is from RNAcentral.
CAAAUCUUAGCGGUGGAUCACUCGGUUCGUGGAUCGAUGAAGAACGCAGCUAGCUG